UCAAUUCUAUGCAAAAGGAAAAUGAGAGGAAUCUUAUCGCCGAAGUUUACUGUCUGUCACCAUCUAGAGACUGCAAUUCGAUGACUUAUAAUAUGCCCACAUUUGAGACAAAGAUUGAGUAAUUGACGGGCAGAAGAAGAUUGUUAAUUAGGUCAAGUAUGGUGUUUUAUAAACUUCAAGAGAAACAGAAGCCAGUGUCAUCAAGUUAAGCACCUGGAAAGCUUUCGAGAAUGAAGAGGGAUGGACAUAGGCAACCAGAAUCCUUGGCUCAAUCCAUAAGGGAGUGUCUCAAAAUCACUUCAAAUCGACCCUGUGUCCGAUCUUUCACCAAUCCUGAAUUAACCCAGGCAGAAACAGCUCUACUGGCUUCCAGGCCUUUGCAGGCAGGGCUCUGGGCUUAGACAGGUGGAAACAGAAUGAAACCGUAAUUGUCUGAAGCCAGUCAGACUCCUAUUCUCCACCUGUUUGAGGACAGACAAGGUGUGAGAAGUCAAGACCCCGGAGCCCUAGGUGGCGCUCUCUUAUUGGCCAGUGCAGUGGAGGGGCCAGGAUCCCCCACACUCUGUGAAGAUGUCACCUGAGCAGUUUAUCAUAGGUUUGUGAUACCCACUCUACUGCUAAAGAAGCUAGCUGUCCGAGGUUUAUGCAGACAACCUGAGAUCUCUCCGCUUGGCGCCUCCUGCUACGGGUUUUGGAUAUUUACCCUCCGCAGAGAGAGGAAGAGCAGGGAGCUUUUUGAGCUCAGCGUGGCAUAAGCCGCAGGAGCUCCGGAGCCAGACCUUCGGAUCCGCGACGGCCCAGAUGUCCCGCCGCGCCUGCGCACGGCCGCCCGACGGUGCGGGCCGGGAUGGACGCGGACCCGGGGCGGGGCGGGGCGAGGCGGGCCGAGGAGGGCGGGGACCUGCUGAAAGCGAGCAGCAGUCGGAUCUCGUGCGCCAGGCGGUGCGGCGUCCACCGCGUCUCCCGGGACGACCUCGGGCGCUUCCCUCUCCCAGCGGUUAAUUGGAUUCGGGAGGGGGGAGUGUCAGUCUACCGCAGGGGCCAAUCGAAGGUCUGGAAAGCCCUAUAUGCAAAUAAGAGGGCCGGGCGGACCCCAAGUUAGGAGGGGCGCGGGUUGGGGUUAGAGGUUGUUUGGCAGCCAAUGGGAGGGUGUCUCCUUAAUCCUUCGAGGAGGGGACCCGCAAGUGUGGUUGCCAGCGGUACGGGCGGCAGAGCAGGGGCGAGAGGAAUCGCUGGUAAGAGCGCCCCAGAGCCCGGUGCCGGUCCCAGACUGCGGCCCCCUAGUGCCUCCCCAUUGAAAACCAGGUUCUACAUGCCCCCCGUGUCCCCCACGGUGACCAGUUCCCCAGGUUUACCCCCUCUGCCUUCCCUGGUGUUCUAGGACAAAAGCCACCCGCACUGCCCUUGUUCCCCCUCGGCUCUGUAGCCCAUCUUUUCUCAGCAGGUCUUGGUGUCUCUCACCUUCUUACCCGCCUCGUACUCAAUUUACUGCUGAAAUACCCUCGCUCCCUAUUCUCAUCCUCAAGACCCCAACGCCAGGACCUUUCUCACACACAGUCCCUUCUUUUCCCAACUCCUUACACCGUUCUGUCCUGGCUUUUCUCCCGAACCUGGGUCGCCCGUAGAGUGCACCCUCACUUCCUGGCCUUCCUCAGUUUCCCGUACCCGGUGUCUCCAGGGAGCUGUCCCUUAGGUAUCAGAGAUCCCUGGGAAUCACACGACUCUCUCCGCCUCCUCCUCCCCUAUCGUGGGAUCCUUCUCUUGAUCACCUUUCUUCCCGGUCUGGAGACGCCUUACAGAAAGACACUUCUGUUUUUCUUGGCAGCACAGCCCUCUGCAAAUAACCUACCCCCAGCCUCUUUUUCUUUCACUUCCAGGUGUUAUUUCUCACCUUCCUAAAGGAAAGCUCUUCUAGGCCUGAGGAAAGUUCUUUGGGGUUUGAACUCUAGGCAAAAUGUAACUUACACGUGGGGAUGAGGUGGGAAGGGAGCUGGUAUUUAUUAAGCACUGGUAUGUGCCAGGCCCUUAGAUAAGUUAUUUACUGUGUGCAUCAAUGCCACCGUCGUAUUUUCAUUUUACAGUCUUUUGAACCAAACACUGCUAUAGGAGCAUUGGAAAUAGUAACUCAUUUAAUCUUUCAAACUGCUCCAUGAGAUGAAUAUUAUUAUCUUCAAAGAUGCAAAGCUGAAAGCAAGAUCCAGAGGUCUUACCUCCACAUCUUUCUUGCCCCCCCCCCAUCCACUUUGACCUUUUCCAAGAGCUAAUCAGUGUGGGAAGCCUUCCCAGGAUGCAGGGGAAUGAGGGUCAAAAGAUGAAAAGGGAAAAGGAGUGCAGGAAAACCUAUUAUUUGGGGGGAAAGAAGGACGUCACAGGUAGGAGAACUCUUCAGGGCCCUAUGAAUUCCUACAGGCUGAAAAAUAAGUCUAGGCUGAGGAGGUCAGGGUGAAAAAACUUGGCUAAAACGUGAAACGCUUAACCAAAUGACUCUUUCCUCCUGCUUACAGCCUUGUAAAGGAAAGCACUAAUUAUUUCCCACCCUUCGGCAACACUUCUAGGGCCAAGAAGAGUGGUCAACAUGUAUAGUCCUUCAGAAGUGGAAAUGAGUCCCUUCAGAUAACCUGCAGUGUGUUCCUUUGCAUGGAGCCAUCCCAGUGCUCGUUCCCUCCCCCUGGUGGCCAAUAAAGGUCAUUUUCGUGCCGU
RNAcentral lists this long non-coding RNA (2700 nucleotides) under Sus scrofa (pig). RNAcentral describes it as "lncRNA (ENSSSCG00040066600.1)". The record is from RNAcentral. Lineage: Eukaryota; Metazoa; Chordata; Mammalia; Artiodactyla; Suidae.